RNAcentral lists this non-coding RNA (27 nucleotides) under Homo sapiens (human). The record is from RNAcentral. Lineage: Eukaryota; Metazoa; Chordata; Mammalia; Primates; Hominidae.
UAGUGCAAGGAAAAGCCUAGUUGGAAU